Quercus lobata is the source of this 963-nucleotide long non-coding RNA. RefSeq lists it as uncharacterized. The transcript is spliced from 3 exons. NCBI's taxonomy places the organism in Eukaryota, Viridiplantae, Streptophyta, Magnoliopsida, Fagales, Fagaceae. The record is from RefSeq and is a predicted model, not a curated record.
UAUUUCUUUCUAGGACGAAAUGAAACGGUCCGGAUUUAAAAGUAACUUUUAAUCUCAACCUUUUAAUUUUCUAUUGAUGCUGCGCCGGAUCUCAAUCCAGUUUAGCUUCAUAAUUUCAGGAGCAAGACAGGUUCAAGAACACACAGAGAAAUCUCUCGGCGAAAAAUGAAAUGGCGUAUAGAAGAGAAAUCGACAUGGGGUUCUUUCUCUUCGCACCAGGACUUGCUGCAAUAAAAGACUGCUAAUUUUGUCAAAACAACUACAGCCCAACAACAUACAAAAAGGAAAGAGAGAGCCAGCUUCAUUAAACAUAAUACAAACGCAUUGGAGAGAAGCAGCAGUCAUCAAAGAUACAAGAGGACAACAUGAUUUUGAGAUACUGCAACUGCAAACAGCAUGUAUGCACACCCCUCCAUCUAUAUUCUGUUGUUCCUUCCAUAUGUCUUGUAAUUCGAAGCUUUAGCUCCUUUCGGUCUCCACCAAAGGAAAAAAAUGCCAUGUUACACUGGAUUAUUUUUAUUAGGCCAUUGUGGCUGUCCUUAACCUUAUAAUCUUAUGGCUAUCACGAAUGCUAAGGUGCCUUAUGAAGUACCACAGAAAAGCCAAGAUUGCUAAUUUUCUCAUCAAGGAAGGGUUGAAGGUGAAGAAACUGGCAGAGCAGUAUCUUGAGGCAGCCCAGCAGAAGGAAAAGGUGAAUCUUUAUAAUGGCAGCUGUAUUCAUCUCUUGCAAUUUCUACAGCAUUAGUAUUUGUAUAUAAUGAGAAUCAUAAGAACUUUGAGCCAUAAUUAGGUGGGCGUUACCUAAAUGUAAAUUGUAUGGUACUACUUGGCGUAAAUGUAAAUUUGUAUGGUAGUGCCAAGUAGUCAUAGCUCCAUUGCUUCAUGCUGAGGUGUUUGCUACAAAAACAGAAUUUUAUGAAACUGUAAAUUAUUUUUGAAUUUUUAAUGCAAUCUAUUGGAUGA